Molecule: RNA transcript, 2878 nt
Organism: Syngnathus typhle (broad-nosed pipefish)
Lineage: Eukaryota; Metazoa; Chordata; Actinopteri; Syngnathiformes; Syngnathidae
Gene name: G2/mitotic-specific cyclin-B2-like
Exons: 9
Source: RefSeq, a predicted model, not a curated record
GUAUUUUCUGUUUUUCAGGCACUUUCAGUCAACUAGAAUCUCGUCAAAAGUAAAAUCGAGAUGGCACGGACGUCUGGGUGUGCUCUAGGAGAGAUUACCAACUGUGCUGGCGCAUCACUUGUCACAAAGAGGAGGGAACAAGGCAAAGCUGCUAAACUGGUCCAGCAGCUGCCUUUGGUCAAGGGCCAAGAAGCAGCAAGCCCAUUUUCUCUGCUGUCAGAGGCAUCAGCUGAUAGGUCCAUGAAGGAGUACGAGGAGGUGCAACUGUGCCAGGUUUUCGCCAAUGCACAGCUCUCAGUCAAGGAUGUAGAUGAGGAAUAUGAUGACAUGCCCCUGCUGUGCUCGGGAUUUGUGAAGGACAUCUACAGAUAUCUGCACCAAUUGGAGGUAGAGCAGCCCAUACGUGCCAAUUAUAUGCAGGGUUAUGAAAUCAAUGCCCGUAUGCGAGCGCUUCUCAUCGAUUGGAUAGUCCAGGUUCAUUCCAUGUUCAAUCUGCUGCAAGAAACCUUGUAUCUCUCUGUUGCCGUCCUUGACCGGUUUCUCCAGGUCCAGCCAGUUUCUCGUCAAAAGCUGCAACUUGUCGGUGUGACUGCAAUGCUGGUUGCCUCAAAGUAUGAGUUGUAUCCUCCGAUCGUGGGAGACUUUGCCUACAUCACGGACAGCGCGUUCACCAAUGCUCAGAUUUUGGAGAUGGAGCAAGUGGUUCUGAAGACCCUUAACUUUCAGCUCGGUCGUCCUCUUCCAUUACACUUCCUCAGGAGAGCUUCAAAACUGGCUAAUUGUGACACGGAAAGGCACAUGCUGGCCAAGUAUCUGAUGGAGCUGACCCUCAUUGAUUACGAAAUGGUGCAUUAUCGCCCAUCUGAAAUUGCUGCUGCGGCUCUGUGCCUCUCUCAGCUGCUGCUGAACGGACUGCCUUGGUCACCCACACAAGAACACUACUCGACGUAUGACGAGGCCCACCUGAAGCCCAUCAUGCAGCACAUGGCCAAAAAUGUUGUGAAGGUAAAUGGCGGCAAAACUAAGUUCCAGGCUGUCAGGAGCAAGUAUUCAAACAGUAAGUUCAUGAAGAUCAGCCUCAUUCCGCAGCUUAAGUCAUCACUAAUCAGCAACAUGGCUCGACACACACUGACCGAUGUGGCCGAAAGCUGUCUCACAACAUGCGGGGUUAGUAGAGUAGUUUUUAACAGCCGACCAGAGGCGGCUGGACAACUGGCACCACCACCGGCAAUAAAUAAGGGCUGUGCAAACAAAUUGGAGCAAAACUGCAGAGUCAAGGCAAGUUGAAAUGUUGGGGUGCAGGUUGUUCCCUCCUGGUUCCGCUGCCUUUGCUGUCAUCCACAGGUAAGGUCUUAAUGAAAACUAACAAAGUAGCAACUAAAACUAAAAUUGGACAGCUUUUCUGUUGAUGAAAUAAAAGUGAGAAUGUUUUCAAAAUAAGGAAAACUAAACAAAACUACUUUUUGCGUUUACAAAACCAACAAAAUGACUAUAAGUAAACUGUCCUUCGUUUUUCAUUGUUUCAUACACGAGUCUUAGGGGUUAGUCUUAUAUGUAAUUAUUUUGGUGUCAUAAGACAACAGUGUCGCUUAGUUGGGAAAAGUGAAGCCACCGGUGGCCAUCUUACGGAGCUAUUAGUGAACCCUGCCUAAUUUGCAUACCUUGAUUCUACUGUGGCGUUUUCACAUUUACACAGCAAAAUGGUCAACGAUACAUUCCACAAAUAUGGCCGACAUGCAUGUUUAUCUCGCUUAAUCUAUGAAAAUAUACUUAUUGCCCUGUUUAAAGCUGUCAAAAGUACACCUCGUGGAGGAAAUCUAUUUAGUAACAUGUACGAAAAGUGGUGAAAGUUCAUCAUGACUGCAGAACUUUUGCUUGUGUUCUUGGUGUUGGAUUUUGUCGAUUAAAUUUCCCCCAAAAUGCGACUUAUACUCCGGAGCGACUUAUAUAUGUUUUUUUUUUCACGUUAUUGUACAUUUCAUGGCUAAUGCGACCUAUUUCCGGAGCGACUUUUAGUCCGAAAAAUACGGUAUUCGUGAACCCUGCCCAAUUUGCAUACCUUGAUUCUACUGUGGCGUUUUCACAUUUACACAGCAACAUGGUCGACGAUACAUUCCACAAAUAUGGCUGACAUGCAUGUUUAUCUCACUUAAUCUGUAAAGAAAAAUACUUAUUGGCCUGUUUAAAGCUGUCAAAAGUACAUCUCGUGGAGGAAAUCUAUUUCGUAACAUGUAUGAAAAGUGGGGAAAGUUCAUGAUGACUGCAGAACAUUUGCUUGUGUUUUUCCAGCCAAGAGACCAAGUUUGACUAGUGAUGAGCUUCAAGAGUUUAAGCAGCAGGCGGCAUGUCUGAACUUAAACGUACCCACCAUCCUGGGCACAACCGGAAGUUGUCCAGAUUCACCAGACACAAAGAUCGUUGAUGUCAGCAUGGGGUUCAUUCAAAGCACACCAAGAUUCAAGCAAAUAUUUUAUCUCAUUUAAUUGUAUACCCUAUAUAAUCUCAGCUCGGCCCAAGUGAGCCAAUCAAUCAGGAGGACGUGUUUUUCCGGUAAUGUAUUACUGUAGAGAGAAUAUUGUGACUCACAAUUUGUGAGGAAUGAAGUUUCCAACUGAUCAAGCGUCACCCAAGAUAGCAUUUUACUGCGAAUGCAACCACCGUCGGUCACCAGAUUGCAUAGCAAUAUGUAAACUUUUUUGAAGUGCUCCUCGUCUUGUUUGCUUGAAGCAAACUGAAGGCACUCCCUCCACCCCCAGAAUACAAAAAAUCUGUCCUUUUUGAAAACCUUCUCAUCCUUCGUCCGCAAAUCUACGGGUGGAAAAUAGACGGUAAAAUGAAGGGUGAAUUAAAAAUUGACAUGGAUGCAUCCAUAAAGGAA